RNAcentral lists this ribosomal RNA (850 nucleotides) under Escherichia coli. Its description in RNAcentral is "partial 23S ribosomal RNA". It matches the Rfam family "Bacterial large subunit ribosomal RNA", at positions 2093 to 2925 of the family's 2925-position model. Lineage: Bacteria; Pseudomonadati; Pseudomonadota; Gammaproteobacteria; Enterobacterales; Enterobacteriaceae. The record is from RNAcentral.
GUGAACCUUUACUAUAGCUUGACACUGAACAUUGAGCCUUGAUGUGUAGGAUAGGUGGGAGGCUUUGAAGUGUGGACGCCAGUCUGCAUGGAGCCGACCUUGAAAUACCACCCUUUAAUGUUUGAUGUUCUAACGUGGGCCCCUUACCGGGGUUGCGGACAGUGUCUGGUGGGUAGUUUGACUGGGGCGGUCUCCUCCUAAAGAGUAACGGAGGAGCACGAAGGUUGGCUAAUCCUGGUCGGACAUCAGGAGGUUAGUGCAAUGGCAUAAGCCAGCUUGACUGCGAGCGUGACGGCGCGAGCAGGUGCGAAAGCAGGUCAUAGUGAUCCGGUGGUUCUGAAUGGAAGGGCCAUCGCUCAACGGAUAAAAGGUACUCCGGGGAUAACAGGCUGAUACCGCCCAAGAGUUCAUAUCGACGGCGGUGUUUGGCACCUCGAUGUCGGCUCAUCACAUCCUGGGGCUGAAGUAGGUCCCAAGGGUAUGGCUGUUCGCCAUUUAAAGUGGUACGCGAGCUGGGUUUAGAACGUCGUGAGACAGUUCGGUCCCUAUCUGCCGUGGGCGCUGGAGAACUGAGGGGGGCUGCUCCUAGUACGAGAGGACCGGAGUGGACGCAUCACUGGUGUUCGGGUUGUCAUGCCAAUGGCACUGCCCGGUAGCUAAAUGCGGAAGAGAUAAGUGCUGAAAGCAUCUAAGCACGAAACUUGCCCCGAGAUGAGUUCUCCCUGACUCCUUGAGAGUCCUGAAGGAACGUUGAAGACGACGACGUUGAUAGGCCGGGUGUGUAAGCGCAGCGAUGCGUUGAGCUAACCGGUACUAAUGAACCGUGAGGCUUAACCUUACAACGCCGAAG